RNAcentral lists this ribosomal RNA (404 nucleotides) under uncultured Acidimicrobiales bacterium. RNAcentral describes it as "bacterial SSU rRNA". It matches the Rfam family "Bacterial small subunit ribosomal RNA", at positions 355 to 776 of the family's 1533-position model. Lineage: Bacteria; Bacillati; Actinomycetota; Acidimicrobiia; Acidimicrobiales. The record is from RNAcentral.
UGGGGAAUCUUGCGCAAUGGGCGAAAGCCUGACGCAGCAACGCCGCGUGCGGGACGAAGGCCUUCGGGUCGUAAACCGCUUUCAGCAGGAACGAAAAUGACGGUACCUGCAGAAGAAGGUCCGGCUAACUACGUGCCAGCAGCCGCGGUAAUACGUAGGGGCCGAGCGUUGUCCGGAUUCAUUGGGCGUAAAGAGCUCGUAGGCGGUCGCGUAAGUCGGGUGUGAAAUCUCCGGGCUCAACCCGGAGGGGCCACCCGAUACUGCUCGACUCGAGUCCGGUAGGGGAGUGGGGAAUUCCUGGUGUAGCGGUGAAAUGCGCAGAUAUCAGGAGGAACACCGGUGGCGAAGGCGCCACUCUGGGCCGGUACUGACGCUGAGGAGCGAAAGCGUGGGGAGCAAACAGG